This 253-nucleotide ribosomal RNA is filed under the name uncultured bacterium. RNAcentral describes it as "partial 16S ribosomal RNA". It matches the Rfam family "Bacterial small subunit ribosomal RNA", at positions 524 to 776 of the family's 1533-position model. The record is from RNAcentral.
UACAGAGGUCCCGAGCGUUGUUCGGAUUCACUGGGCGUAAAGGGUGCGCAGGUGGCUUGGCAAGUCGGAUGUGAAAGCUCCGGGCUUAACCCGGAAAUGGCAUUGGAAACUGCUUGGCUGGAGGUUUGGAGGGGGGACUGGAAUUCUCGGUGUAGCAGUGAAAUGCGUAGAGAUCGAGAGGAACACCAGUGGCGAAGGCGAGUCCCUGGACAACACCUGACACUGAGGCACGAAAGCCGGGGGAGCAAACAGG